UACGGAGGGUGCAAACGUUGCUCGGAAUCAUUGGGCGUAAAGCGCACGUAGGCGGCCUGCUAAGUCGGGUGUGAAAGCCCUGGGCUCAACCCAGGAAGUGCACUCGAAACUGUCAGGCUUGAAUAUGGAAGAGGGUCGCGGAAUUCCCGGUGUAGAGGUGAAAUUCGUAGAUAUCGGGAGGAACACCAGUGGCGAAGGCGGCGACCUGGGCCAAUAUUGACGCUGAGGUGCGAAAGCGUGGGGAGCAAACAGG
Molecule: ribosomal RNA, 253 nt
Filed under: uncultured bacterium
Lineage: Bacteria
Description: partial 16S ribosomal RNA
Rfam family: Bacterial small subunit ribosomal RNA
Source: RNAcentral